AGAGUAAGAGGCUGGCCAUG
RNAcentral lists this unclassified non-coding RNA (20 nucleotides) under Mus musculus (house mouse). RNAcentral describes it as "oocyte_clustered_small_RNA4292". The record is from RNAcentral. Lineage: Eukaryota; Metazoa; Chordata; Mammalia; Rodentia; Muridae.